Molecule: ribosomal RNA, 497 nt
Filed under: uncultured bacterium
Lineage: Bacteria
Description: partial 16S ribosomal RNA
Rfam family: Bacterial small subunit ribosomal RNA
Source: RNAcentral
GAUGAACGCUGGCGGCGUGCCUAAUACAUGCAAGUCGAGCGAACAGACGAGGAGCUUGCUCCUCUGACGUUAGCGGCGGACGGGUGAGUAACACGUGGAUAACCUACCUAUAAGACUGGGAUAACUUCGGGAAACCGGAGCUAAUACCGGAUAACAUGAUGAACCGCAUGGUUCAACAGUGAAAGACGGUCUUGCUGUUACUUAUAGAUGGUACCGCGCCGCAUUAGCUAGUUGGGUAGGUAAAGGCUUACCAAGGCAACGAUGCGUAGCCGACCUGAGAGGGUGAUCGGACACGCUGGGACUGAGACACGGUCCAGACUCCUACGGGAGGCAGCAGUAGGGAAUCUUCCGCAAUGGGCGAAAGCCUGACGGAGCAACGCCGCGUGAGUGAAGAAGGUCUUCGGAUCGUAAAACUCUGUGAUUAGGGAAGAACAAAUUUGUAAGUAACUAUGCACGUCUUGACGGUACCUAAUCAGAAAGCCACGGCUAACUACGUG